UUUAGAUUAAUGGCUUAGAUCUAAAUGAUUUUUCUUCCUCAUUCAUAACUAUUCAGUUGCCAUGGAAGGUUCUUCCUCUUCUCCGUCUCUCUCUGCAACUUCUCAAAAUGAAGGAUCAAACUGUUUAAAGUUUCUUUCAACAGCAAAAGAAAUGAUGGGAGAUUUGUUUUAACAAAAAAAAAAAAAAAAAAAAUGAUGAGAUUUGGUUUAGCAACAAGACAAUGGAGACUGGAGAGAGAUGGUUUUCCAAUAUCCACUUCCAUCUAAUUUCUCCAUUGUUAUUGUAAUUCAG
RNAcentral lists this long non-coding RNA (292 nucleotides) under Aquilegia coerulea. Its description in RNAcentral is "long non-coding RNA (ACOE_LNC001016)". Lineage: Eukaryota; Viridiplantae; Streptophyta; Magnoliopsida; Ranunculales; Ranunculaceae. The record is from RNAcentral.